UACGUAGGGUGCAAGCGUUGUCCGGAAUUAUUGGGCGUAAAGAGCUCGUAGGCGGUUUGUCGCGUCUGCUGUGAAAACCCGAGGCUCAACCUCGGGCCUGCAGUGGGUACGGGCAGACUAGAGUGCGGUAGGGGAGAAUGGAAUUCCUGGUGUAGCGGUGGAAUGCGCAGAUAUCAGGAGGAACACCGAUGGCGAAGGCAGUUCUCUGGGCCGUUACUGACGCUGAGGAGCGAAAGCGUGGGGAGCGAACAGGAUUAGAUACCCUGGUAGUCCACGCCGUAAACGUUGGGAACUAGAUGUGGGGACCUUUCCACGGUCUCCGUGUCGCAGCUAACGCAUUAAGUUCCCCGCCUGGGGAGUACGGCCGCAAGGCUA
RNAcentral lists this ribosomal RNA (375 nucleotides) under uncultured bacterium. RNAcentral's name for it is "bacterial SSU rRNA". It matches the Rfam family "Bacterial small subunit ribosomal RNA", at positions 524 to 896 of the family's 1533-position model. The record is from RNAcentral.